CCAGACUCCUACGGGAGGCAGCAGUAGGGAAUCUUCCGCAAUGGGCGAAAGCCUGACGGAGCAACGCCGCGUGAGUGAAGAAGGAUUUCGGUUCGUAAAGCUCUGUUGUUAGGGAAGAAUGGAUAUGUAGUAACUAUACAUAUAAGAGACGGUACCUAACCAGAAAGCCACGGCUAACUACGUGCCAGCAGCCGCGGUAAUACGUAGGUGGCAAGCGUUGUCCGGAAUUAUUGGGCGUAAAGCGCGCGCAGGUGGUUUAAUAAGUCUGAUGUGAAAGCCCACGGCUCAACCGUGGAGGGUCAUUGGAAACUGUUAAACUUGAGUGCAGGAGAGAAAAGUGGAAUUCCUAGUGUAGCGGUGAAAUGCGUAGAGAUUAGGAGGAACACCAGUGGCGAAGGCGACUUUCUGGGCAACAACUGACGCUGAGGCACGAAAGUGUGGGGAGCAAACAGGAUUAGAUACCCUGGUAGUCCACACCGUAACGAUGGAUACUAGGAGUUGGCAAAAAUAUUGUCGGUUCCGCAGUUAACGCAUUAAGUAUCCCACCUGGGGGAGUACGACCGCAAGGUUAAAACUCAAAGGAAUUGCGGGGGCCCCGCACAAG
RNAcentral lists this ribosomal RNA (604 nucleotides) under uncultured bacterium. RNAcentral describes it as "bacterial SSU rRNA". It matches the Rfam family "Bacterial small subunit ribosomal RNA", at positions 331 to 929 of the family's 1533-position model. The record is from RNAcentral.